UACGUAGGGAGCGAGCGUUGUCCGGAAUUACUGGGCGUAAAGGGCGCGUAGGCGGGAACUUAAGUUAGAUGUGAGAACUCCGGGCUUAACCUGGAGACUGCAUUUAAAACUGGGUUUCUUGAGGGCAGGAGAGGAAAGUGGAAUUCCUAGUGUAGCGGUGAAAUGCGUAGAUAUUAGGAGGAACACCAGUGGCGAAGGCGACUUUCUGGACUGUACCUGACGCUGAGGCGCGAAAGCAUGGGGAGCGAACAGG
This 253-nucleotide ribosomal RNA is filed under the name uncultured bacterium. RNAcentral's name for it is "partial 16S ribosomal RNA". It matches the Rfam family "Bacterial small subunit ribosomal RNA", at positions 524 to 776 of the family's 1533-position model. The record is from RNAcentral.